GUCCACGCCGUAAACUAUGGAUACUAGGUAUGGGAGUAUCGACCCUUUCCGUGCCGAAGCUAACGCUUUAAGUAUCCCGCCUGGGAAGUACGGUCGCAAGACUAAAACUCAAAGGAAUUGACGGGGCCCGCACAAGCAGCGGAGCGUGUGGUUUAAUUCGAUGCAACGCGAAGAACCUUACCAGGGCUUGACAUGUUGGAAGUAGCGGACCGAAAGGCGAGCGACCUGUCAAGUCAGGAGCCAUCACAGGUGCUGCAUGGUUGUCGU
RNAcentral lists this ribosomal RNA (267 nucleotides) under uncultured bacterium. RNAcentral describes it as "partial 16S ribosomal RNA". It matches the Rfam family "Bacterial small subunit ribosomal RNA", at positions 793 to 1055 of the family's 1533-position model. The record is from RNAcentral.